AUUGAACGCUGGCGGCAUGCUUACUACAUGGCAAGUCGAACGGCAGCGCGGGGGUAACCCGUGGCGGCGAGUGGCGAACGGGUGAGUAAUGUAUCGGAACGUAUCCUGUAAUGGGGGAUAACCAGUCGAAAGAUUGGGUAAUACCGCAUACGCACGAGAGUGGAAAGUAGGGGAUCGCAAGACCUUACGUUAUAGGAGCGGCCGAUAUCUGAUUAGCUAGUUGGUGGGGUAAAAGGCCUACCAAGGCGACGAUCAGUAGCUGGUCUGAGAGGACGACCAGCCACACUGGGACUGAGACACGGCCCAGACUCCUACGGGAGGCAGCAGUGGGGAAUUUUGGACAAUGGGCGAAAGCCUGAUCCAGCCAUGCCGCGUGCAGGAAGAAGGCCUUCGGGUUGUAAACUGCUUUAGUCUAGGAAAAAAGGGGUGCGAGGUUAAUACCCUCGUGCUUUGAUGGUACUGGAAGAAUAAGCACCGGCUAACUACGUG
This 489-nucleotide ribosomal RNA is filed under the name uncultured bacterium. RNAcentral's name for it is "bacterial SSU rRNA". It matches the Rfam family "Bacterial small subunit ribosomal RNA", at positions 30 to 507 of the family's 1533-position model. The record is from RNAcentral.